This 75-nucleotide transfer RNA is filed under the name Bacteroidota bacterium. Its description in RNAcentral is "tRNA-Ala". It matches the Rfam family "tRNA". From Rfam's summary of the family: Transfer RNA (tRNA) molecules are approximately 80 nucleotides in length. The record is from RNAcentral. Lineage: Bacteria; Pseudomonadati; Bacteroidota. RNAcentral also lists the same sequence under 2 other names.
GGUCCGGUAGUUUAGCUGGUUAGAAAGCCUGUCAUCUCGCCCAAGGCGAGACGGGUUCGAGUCCCGUCCGGACUC